UUUUUUGGGGGACCUGACUGCUAUCGGAUUGGUACUAAGCCAUUUUAGUCAUUGUAGCAAUACAAGGCGGACGGCUCAGUAACACGUAGUCAACCUAACCCGUGGACGCGGAUAACCUCGGGAAACUGAGAAUAAACCGCGAUAGAUCAUUAUGCCUGGAAUGGCUUAUGGUCCAAACAGUUUACUGCCAUGGGAUGGGACUGCGGCCUAUCAGCUUGUUGGUGAGGUAAUGGCCCACCAAGGCUAUAACAGGUACGGGCUCUGAGAGGAGAAGCCCGGAGAUGGGUACUGAGACACGGACCCAGGCCCUAUGGGGCGCAGCAGGCGAGAAACCUUAGCAAUGUGCGAAAGCACGACUGGGUCAGUCCGAGUGAUUCCUGAUAAAGGAGUCUUUUAUCUGUCCUAAAAGCACAGGUGAAUAAGGGGUGGGCAAGUCUGGUGUCAGCCGCCGCGGUAAUACCAGCACCUCGAGUGGUCAGGACGUUUAUUGGGCCUAAAGCAUCCGUAGCCGGCUCUGCAAGUCUUCGGUUAAAUCCACCUGCUCAACAGAUGGGCUGCUGGAGAUACUACAAAGCUAGGGAGUGGGAGAGGCAGACGGUAUUCAGUGGGUAGGGGUAAAAUCCUCUGAUCCAUCGAGGACCACCAGUGGCGAAGGCGGUCUGCCAGAACACGUUCGACGGUGAGGGAUGAAAGCUGGGGGAGCAAACCGGAUUAGAUACCCGGGUAGUCCCAGCUGUAAACGAUGCAAACUCGGUGAUGCAUUGGCUUAUGGCCAAUGCACCUGCCACAUGUAAACCUUUUAGUUUUGCCGCUUGGGAAUUUAUCGUACCCCCCCUCUGAAACUUUAACGGAAUUGGGCGGUGGAAACACACAGGCCGAAUUCUUGAAAACUUCCCUCCAUACUUGACCGGCCCGCUCCCAGCAUGCCUCUUUUAUG
Molecule: ribosomal RNA, 937 nt
Filed under: uncultured archaeon
Lineage: Archaea
Description: bacterial SSU rRNA
Rfam family: Archaeal small subunit ribosomal RNA
Source: RNAcentral